AGUGAACGCUGGCGGUAGGCCUAACACAUGCAAGUCGAACGGCAGCACAGGAGAGCUUGCUCUCUGGGUGGCGAGUGGCGGACGGGCGAGGAAUACAUCGGAAUCUACGCUGUCGUGGGGGAUAACGUAGGGAAACUUACGCUAAUACCGCAUACGACCUACGGGUGAAAGCAGGGGACCUUCGGGCCUUGCGCGAUUGAAUGAGCCGGUGUCGGAUUAGCUAGUUGGCGGGGUAAAGGCCAACCAAGGCGACGAUCCGUAGCUGGUCUGAGGGGAUGACCAGCAACACUGGAACUGAGACACGGUCCAGACUCCUACGGGAGGCAGCGGUGGGGAAUAUUGGACAAUGGGCGCAAGCCUGAUCCAGCCAUACCACGUGGGUGAAGAAGGCCUUCGGGUUGUAAAGCCCUUUUGUUGGGAAAGAAAUCCAGCUGGCUAAUACCCGGUUGGGAUGACGGUACCCAAAGGAUAAGCACCGGCUAACUUCGUGCCAGCCGCCGCAGUAA
This 506-nucleotide ribosomal RNA is filed under the name uncultured bacterium. Its description in RNAcentral is "partial 16S ribosomal RNA". It matches the Rfam family "Bacterial small subunit ribosomal RNA", at positions 29 to 523 of the family's 1533-position model. The record is from RNAcentral.